Molecule: ribosomal RNA, 116 nt
Filed under: Lepisosteus oculatus (spotted gar)
Lineage: Eukaryota; Metazoa; Chordata; Actinopteri; Semionotiformes; Lepisosteidae
Source: RNAcentral
GGCAGCAGCAUAACCAUGUUGUAAUCUGAUGUCAUUAGCUUUCAGGAGCUACGCAAGGCUGUGCCUGGUCAGUCCUGGGUUGGGAGACCUCCAGGGAAACCAGGCUGCUGUUGUAC